RNAcentral lists this ribosomal RNA (467 nucleotides) under uncultured bacterium. RNAcentral describes it as "partial 16S ribosomal RNA". It matches the Rfam family "Bacterial small subunit ribosomal RNA", at positions 28 to 506 of the family's 1533-position model. The record is from RNAcentral.
GACGAACGCUGGCGGCGUGCUUAACACAUGCAAGUCGAACGGAAAGGCCCUGCUUUUGUGGGGUGCUCGAGUGGCGAACGGGUGAGUAACACGUGAGUAACCUGCCCUUGACUUUGGGAUAACUUCAGGAAACUGGGGCUAAUACCGGAUAGGAGCUCCUGCUGCAUGGUGGGGGUUGGAAAGUUUCGGCGGUUGGGGAUGGACUCGCGGCUUAUCAGCUUGUUGGUGGGGUAGUGGCUUACCAAGGCUUUGACGGGUAGCCGGCCUGAGAGGGUGACCGGCAAAAUGGGGACGGAGAUACGGCCCAGACCCCUACGGGAGGCAGCAGGGGGGAAUAUGGAACAAGGGGCGGAGGCUGGAGGCAGAAACGCCGCGUGGGGGAGGACGGCUUUCGGGUUGUAACCCGCUUUCGCCUGGGACGAAGCGUGAGUGACGGUAAUGGUAAAAGAAGCACCGGCUACUUACGU